RNAcentral lists this ribosomal RNA (1994 nucleotides) under Callophyllis corollata. RNAcentral describes it as "eukaryotic LSU rRNA". It matches the Rfam family "Eukaryotic large subunit ribosomal RNA", at positions 51 to 2191 of the family's 3401-position model. The record is from RNAcentral. Lineage: Eukaryota; Rhodophyta; Florideophyceae; Gigartinales; Kallymeniaceae.
CGGAGGAAAAGAAACUAACAAGGAUUCCCCUAGUAGCGGCGAGCGAAGCGGGAAGAGCCCAAUAUGAAAAGCCUGCUUGCAGGCCUUGUAUUUUGGAAGUCUUUGAGGUGUCAGUGCGCGUAAGUUGUAUGAAAGUACACGCCGUGGAGGGUGAAAGCCCCGUCCAGCGCGCACAGGGCACUUCGUACGAGGACUUUCCUAACGAGUCGGGUAGCUUGGGAAUGCUGCUCUAAUUGRUGGUAAAUCUCAUCAAAGGCUAAAUAUUGACCGGAGACCGAUAGCGAACAAGUACCGUGAGGGAAAGAUGACAAGCACUUUGAAAAGAGGGUGAAAAGAGCCUGAAACCGUCAUGGGGGAAGCGGAUUGCGUUGGAUUGGUUGGUUGCUGUGUGUUCAGCCAUAUUGGUGCAUUGACACAGUAGCUUAUCUGCCGUGGGUUCUGAGCCGUUGAAAACGGACGGCUUGGGGCUGAGGGCUCCCUGCAAAGGUGAGGACGGUAGAGUGACGACGCGAUACGACCCGUCUUGAAACACGGACCAAGGAGUCUAGCGCGGGUGCGAGUCGAAGGGUGCAAGCCYGAGGGCAAAGUGAAAGCGAGUGUAAAAACUAGCAGUUUGGGGCGGCAUAAGAUCGUUGAUCUUAAGACCGACCUUGAGCAGUUGCGCUGGGACCCGAAAGAUGGUGAACUAUGCUGGAGUAGGGCAAAGCCAGAGGAAACUCUGGUGGAGGCUCGUAGCGGUGCUGACGUGCAAAUCGCUCGUCGAACUUGAGUAUAGGGGCGAAAGACUAAUCGAACCAUCUAGUAGCUGGUUCCCUCCGAAGUUUCUCUCAGGAUAGCGGGCCGACAUGUGUUGUUUUGUGCGGUAAAGCGAAUGAUUAGCGCACUCGGGGGCAAUUUGUCUUCGGGCGAUUCUCAAACUUUCAAUGCGCAAGGGUGCCGCUGCUUUGUUGAGCGGCACCGGCAAAAACGUCGGCCCUGUGGGCCACUUUUGGUAAGCAGAACUGGCGAUACGGGAUGAACCGUAAGCAUGGUUAAGGCGCCAAACUUCCCGCUUAGAGAUCCCACAAAAGGUGUUGAUUCAUCGAGACAGCAGGACGGUGGCCAUGGAAGUCGGAAUCCGCCAAGGAGUGUGUAACAACUCACCUGCCGAAUGAAUUAGCCCUGAAAAUGGAUGGCGCUUAAGCGGGAGGCCGACACCAUGCCGUCUGGUAAAGAUUUACGAUCAGAUGAGUAGGAGGGCGUGGUGAUUGUGUCGAAGGGUGUGUGCAGACACGCCUGGAACGGUCACUAGUGCAGAUCUUGGUGGUAGUAGCAAGUAUUCAAGCGAGAUCCUUGAAGGGCGAAGCGGGGAAGGGUUCCACGCGAACAUUGAUUGGGCGUGGGUGAGUCGUUCCUAAGCCGAGUGGCGAUUGCUAAGUAGCGGCGAAAGGGAAGCAGGUUGACAUUCCUGCACACGGAUGUGGAGGCGGUGACGCAUAUUGGGACGAACACGCUGGCGAUGGCGCUGGGCAGAGUUGUCUUUUCUGUUUGACCUAGCGCGCGCGGUGUGGAAUCCGCUUGUCGGGAGAAACACGCGUGUCGGGGCAGAGCGCCGGGGCUUUUCCGGCGUCCAGCUCGCCAUCGACGGCCCUUGAAACUUUGUCUGCUGAAUGAAUCCACGCCGUGGCGUACCGAUCACCGCAUCAGGUCCCCAAGGUGAACAGCCUCUGCUCUAUAUGAACAAUGCAGGUAAGGGAAGUCGGCAAAUUAGACCCGUAACUUUGGGAUAAGGGUUGGCUCUAGUGCUGCGUGGGAGUGGUUGCCCACGGUUGGGGUCGUUGGUAAGGCGGCUUGGCGCGGGACCYCUCGGGGACUUGUUCCGGCUGCUCAACUGGCUAUUCUGUCUUGGGCGACGCCCACGGCAUGCAGCAGACUAGAACUGCAACGGGCAAAGGGAAUCCGACUGUUUAAUUAAAACAAAGCAUUGCGAGGGCCGUGGCCGGUGAUGACGCAAU